AGAGUUUGAUCCUGGCUCAGGAUGAACGCUGGCGGUAUGCUUAACACAUGCAAGUCGAACGGACUCUUCGGAGUUAGUGGCGGACGGGUGAGUAACGCGUGAGAAUCUGCCUACAGAUUGGGGACAACGUCGGGAAACUGACGCUAAUACCGAAUGUGCCGAGAGGUGAAAGAUUUAUUGUCUGUAGAUGAGCUCGCGUCUGAUUAGCUAGUUGGGGCGGUAACGGCGCACCAAGGCGACGAUCAGUAACUGGUCUGAGAGGAUGACCAGUCACACUGGGACUGAGACACGGCCCAGACUCCUACGGGAGGCAGCAGUGGGGAAUUUUCCGCAAUGGGCGAAAGCCUGAUGGAGCAAUACCGCGUGCGGGAGGACGCUUUUUGGAGUGUAAACCGCUUUUCUCAAGGAAGAUGAUGACGGUACUUGAGGAAUCAGCAUCGGCUAACUUCGUGCCAGCAGCCGCGGUAAUACGAGGGGUGCAAGCGUUAUCCGGAAUUAUUGGGCGUAAAGCGUCCGCAGGUGGUUUUUCAAGUCUGCUGUUAAAGACUGGAGCUCAACUCCGGAAAGGCAGUGGAAACUGAGAAACUAGAGUUCGGUAGGGGUAGCGGGAAUUCCCAGUGUAGCGGUGAAAUGCGUAGAUAUUGGGAAGAACAUCGGUGGCGAAGGCGCGCUACUGGACCGAAACUGACACUCAGGGACGAAAGCUAGGGGAGCGAAAGGGAUUAGAUACCCCUGUAGUCCUAGCUGUAAACGAUGGAAACUAGGUGUGGCUUGUAUCGACCCGAGCCGUGCCGUAGCUAACGCGUUAAGUUUCCCGCCUGGGGAGUACGCACGCAAGUGUGAAACUCAAAGGAAUUGACGGGGGCCCGCACAAGCGGUGGAGUAUGUGGUUUAAUUCGAUGCAACGCGAAGAACCUUACCAGGGCUUGACAUAUCGCGAAUCUCCUUGAAGGGGGAGAGUGCCUUCGGGAGCGCGAACACAGGUGGUGCAUGGCUGUCGUCAGCUCGUGUCGUGAGAUGUUGGGUUAAGUCCCGCAACGAGCGCAACCCUCGUCUUUAGUUGCCAGCAUUAAGGUGGGCACUUUAGAGAGACUGCCGGUGACAAACCGGAGGAAGGUGGGGAUGACGUCAAGUCAGCAUGCCCCUUACGCCCUGGGCUACACACGUACUACAAUGGUUGGGACAAAGGGCAGCGACCCCGCGAGGGAAAGCGAAUCUCAUCAAACCCAGCCUCAGUUCAGAUUGCAGGCUGCAACUCGCCUGCAUGAAGGAGGAAUCGCUAGUAAUCGCAGGUCAGCAUACUGCGGUGAAUUCGUUCCCGGGCCUUGUACACACCGCCCGUCACACCAUGGAAGCUGGUCACGCCCGAAGUAGUUACCCUAACCUUUCGGGGGGGGGGACUCCUAAGGCAGGGCUAGUGACUGGGGUGAAGUCAACAAGGUA
Molecule: ribosomal RNA, 1443 nt
Filed under: metagenome
Description: bacterial SSU rRNA
Rfam family: Bacterial small subunit ribosomal RNA
Source: RNAcentral